RNAcentral lists this long non-coding RNA (438 nucleotides) under Ananas comosus (pineapple). Its description in RNAcentral is "long non-coding RNA (ACOM_LNC039552)". Lineage: Eukaryota; Viridiplantae; Streptophyta; Magnoliopsida; Poales; Bromeliaceae. The record is from RNAcentral.
CACGCUCGAAGCAUAUCCUCAAGUAUUUGAAUAGUCCUCUUGUAAUAGGCUGAGAUUUGAUUAUAGGUUAAUUGUGAUUAAGGUGAUCACAAUAAUGCUAAAAUGGAAAUUAAGUGUUUCUAAACUUAAUGAGUAGCUUGAGAAUGAUAUUAGACAGGUUUUGGAAGUGUGAGGAUAGACACGAAAGGAAUCGAAGUGGAUAAAGAACUUCAAUUGCCUUUGUUACUCGAAAGUUGAAAUAUUAGUCAACCUGGUCAAAAAAAAAAGAGCAAAAUGAUGCCAAAUUGGAAAGUAAUUAUUUCCAAAUUAAUCUGACGACUUGUAGAGAUAUAUUAGUGUAAUUUGGAAGUGUUGGGAUGAAAUUGGAGUGAGUUGGAUGUGAGAAAUGGGUUGCCAGAGCUGCUGCUGCCAGCAGGGACUAAAUUGUUAAGCUGCAGG